AACGGUGGGUGGACCAACUCUCCGGCGGCAUAGGAUGGGCCUGCGGCGUAUCAGGUUGUAAAGGGUGUAAUGUACCCUCUAGCCCUCUACGCGUACGGGUGUUGAGAGACAUCGCCCGGAAAUGGAUUCUGAGACACGAAUCCAGACCCUACGGGGUGCAGCAGGCGCGAAAACUUGGCAAUGCGAGAAAUCGUGACCAGGGAACUCCAAGUGCAUCGGGUAAGACCGAUGCUUUUCUUGACUCUUCAAAGGUCUUGGAAUAAGGGGUGGGUAAGGACGGUGCCAGCCGCCGCGGUAAUACCGGCGCCCCAAGUGGUAGUCGCUUUUAUUGGGCCUAAAACGUCCGUAGCCGGUCUGGUACAUUCGUGGGUAAAUCAACCAGCUCAACUGGUUGAAUUCUGCGAGCACGGCCAGACUUGGGACCGGGAGAGGUGUGGGGUACUCUCAAGGUAGGGGUAAAAUCCUGUCAUCCUGAGAGGACCACCUGUUGCGAAGGCGCCACACUAGAACGGAUCCGACGGUCAGGGACGAAGCCUAG
RNAcentral lists this ribosomal RNA (538 nucleotides) under uncultured archaeon. RNAcentral's name for it is "bacterial SSU rRNA". It matches the Rfam family "Archaeal small subunit ribosomal RNA", at positions 174 to 714 of the family's 1478-position model. The record is from RNAcentral.